Molecule: ribosomal RNA, 733 nt
Filed under: Sabatieria sp. m SF-2023
Lineage: Eukaryota; Metazoa; Nematoda; Chromadorea; Araeolaimida; Comesomatidae
Description: partial large subunit ribosomal RNA
Rfam family: Eukaryotic large subunit ribosomal RNA
Source: RNAcentral
AGAAAGUUGCAAAGAACUUUGAAGAGAGAGUUCAAGAGGGCGUGAAACCGUUUGGAAGGAAACGGAUAGAGCCGAUGACGGUUGGCGAGAUUCAGUUCGCUGGUCAGGGCAAGGAUGCGCAAGUGGACCGAUCGCUGCGGCGUGUCCUUUGUCCGUGCUGGUGGAUGCAUUUCUCGUUGACGCGCGUCGAGGGCAGAGGAGACGCGAAACGAAACCAGGGUUGCCGGCCUCAUUCGUGGGGUGUCCCACCUUGGUGGAGAUUUGUCGUUCCUUCUGUCAGGAAGACGUCCGCUCUGCUCGGUAGUCGGGCUGCUUGGCUGAAUGAAUCUGGGCGGUUUGCUUGCACACCGUUCUAACCCUCGGUCAGGUUUGUCAGGCAAUCCGAGUGAUGUCGACCUCGGCGUCAAAGUCGGCCACCUAUCCGACCCGUCUUGAAACACGGACCAAGGAGUCUAACAUGUGUGCGAGUCACUGGGCGGUAAACCCAGAGGCGUAAUGAAAGUGAAGACCGGCUUGACCGGUUGAUACGGGACCUUCCCUUGAGGGAGCGCACCGUAGCCCCGUCUCGUCUGCUUGUCAGUGGGGCGGAGGAGGAGCAUACACGUUGGGACCCGAAAGAUGGUGAACUAUGCCUGAGCAGGACGAAGCCAGAGGAAACUCUGGUGGAGGUCCGAAGCGGUUCUGACGUGCAAAUCGAUCGUCAGACUUGGGUAUAGGGGCGAAAGACUAAUCG